RNAcentral lists this ribosomal RNA (508 nucleotides) under uncultured bacterium. Its description in RNAcentral is "partial 16S ribosomal RNA". It matches the Rfam family "Bacterial small subunit ribosomal RNA", at positions 30 to 523 of the family's 1533-position model. The record is from RNAcentral.
AUUGAACGCUGGCGGCAGGCCUAACACAUGCAAGUCGAGCGGCAGCGGGAAAGUAGCUUGCUACUUUUGCCGGCGAGCGGCGGACGGGUGAGUAAUGCCUGGGGAUCUGCGCAGUCGAGGGGGAUAACAGUUGGAAACGACUGCUAAUCCCGCAUACGCCCUACGGGGGAAAGGAGGGGAGCUUCGCGCCUUUCGCGAUUGGAUGAACCUAGGUGGGAUUAGCUAGUUGGUGGGGUAAUGGCUCACCAAGGCGACGAUCCCUAGCUGGUCUGAGAGGAUGAUCAGCCACACUGGAACUGAGACACGGUCCAGACUCCUACGGGAGGCAGCAGUGGGGAAUAUUGCACAAUGGGGGAAACCCUGAUGCAGCCAUGCCGCGUGUGUGAAGAAGGCCUUCGGGUUGUAAAGCACUUUCAGCGAGGAGGAAAGGUUGUUGGCUAAUAUCCAGCAACUGUGACGUUACUCGCAGAAGAAGCACCGGCUAACUCCGUGCCAGCCGCCGCGGUAA